Molecule: ribosomal RNA, 230 nt
Filed under: uncultured bacterium
Lineage: Bacteria
Description: partial 16S ribosomal RNA
Rfam family: Bacterial small subunit ribosomal RNA
Source: RNAcentral
CUCGUAGGCGGUUCAACAAGUCGGUCGUGAAAGCCCGGGGCUCAACUCCGGGACGCCGGUCGAUACUGUUGUGACUAGAGUUCGGUAGAGGUGAGUGGAAUUCUCAGUGUAGCGGUGGAAUGCGCAGAUAUUGAGAGGAACACCAUUAGCGAAGGCGGCUCACUGGGCCGAUACUGACGCUGAGGAGCGAAAGCGUGGGGAGCAAACAGGAUUAGAUACCCUGGUAGUCC